This is a non-coding RNA of Citrus sinensis (sweet orange), 99 nucleotides long. Lineage: Eukaryota; Viridiplantae; Streptophyta; Magnoliopsida; Sapindales; Rutaceae. The record is from Rfam.
CUACUGCUGUGAUGAUUUAUGAAUGAAUUCACAUGUCAGACUUCAGAGAUUUUUUUGAAAAAAUCUAUGAGAAUGGAUAUUCGUAAUUCUGAGCAGUUA